This 65-nucleotide transfer RNA is filed under the name Trialeurodes vaporariorum (greenhouse whitefly). RNAcentral's name for it is "tRNA-Glu". The record is from RNAcentral. Lineage: Eukaryota; Metazoa; Arthropoda; Insecta; Hemiptera; Aleyrodidae.
GUUUUUAUAGUUUAUUAGUUAAAACUUUAUAUUUUCAUUAUAAUAAAAAUUUAUAUUUAAAAACU